AAUAUAAUUCACCAAAUCUUGAAAUGUUUGAUUUAAAAAAAUAAAUAUUGAGAUCCACUGGAUUUACGAAAAUGAUUCCUUUAAAAAGUAUGUAGUUGUAAUGGGCUUGUCCAUUUGGGUGGUGACACAGAGAGAAAUCCAGUGAUGAAUGGUGCAGAAUUACUAGUUGAUAAGUCACAUUUUGACAGAAGAAUAUACCACUUAAAGGACCUACACACUGGGAAAUGAUAAAUUCCGGAAAGCAAUUGAGCUGGGAGUUACUCCAGUGACAAAUGUUACCAUUUAUUAUAUUCAGAAGUCCUUGUUAUAAAGGCACCCAGGAGAUAUCUAGGUGUAAGCUACAGUAUCAUAAGCCUCAAAUGAGCUUUCUGUUAUUCCACCCAUUCCAGAGUGAGAGUCUCUCCUCUGAAGACAUCAAUCUCAUACUUGGAACAACAGAAUUGCAGCUCUGUGCUUUCAGUAACUCAAAAUGAUUCUCAGGCCUUCACCCAAACGUUUCCCCUAGCACAAAAUCCAGUGGUUCUAUGUUCCAGGGACAUGCCACAUUGUUAACAUUUUGGUAAAAUCUAUGUGGUCUCUUUGUUAACAUGACUUCUGAAGAAAGAGUAAAAUCUGUCCAUUCUAACAAUUUACUAAUGAUAGCCAUUCCUCACAAAGAGAGAAAAGACAAUUGCUAUGUUCAAGGCCCCUGUUUGAUCUCUCCUUGUGUUGUCUAGAUCUUGUAAUGGAAAUGAAAAAAAUGUGUAAUUUUUUCCUUCCAAUUUUGUUUUUUUGUUCUUUGUACAGAGAGCUUACCAAGUAGGAAUAAACAAAGGAAAAUCUAAGAAAACAAGAUGGGAGAAGCUGACUGGUCGGUUGGCCAGAGUUUCUCAUCAAGGAGUACAUGCUGUUUGCUCCCCAGAUGGACAGCCUGGAUGAGCUACAAAUCCACAGAGCCUGGGACACAAGGUGGAAAUUACACUGCCAGUACUUUUAAUCUUGCACAGCUCUGCAGACUUGAAAUUGCAAGUGGCCCAUUUCCAAAUAAGCAUCUAUUGGGACAAUAUCCUAUAUCUUGUCAGAAUGAGUUCCAUUAAAUCCUCAGCUGGAAUUAGACCAAAAACUUGUAAUAAUUAUAGGCAACUUAUUAAAAAGUUGAAGCCCUAGACUGUGACAGUGAAAACACUCAAGCGACAUUAACAGUAAUUGAUAUUUCUGUGAGUUCUUCUUUUUCAAUCAGCCCUUGUUGAUGGCUAAGCAAAGAACACCCAAAUGAGAAGGUGUGAAACCAAAACACCCAGCUUCUCAGAGGGGUAAUUGUCUUUUGUUUCAUUAUAAAAAUGUAGUGUUAGAAUAGCAGUGAACGGCUAAUUCUCAGCCAGGGGGACCUGCCAGACCCAUUUUCCCCCUUGCAGAAGGAAUUCUGGUUGUUAUCAUCAUAUAUGAAUGACCUGGCCUCUCCUCAGCCUCUCCUCAGUCGUGUGGGCCCUCUUUCUCCUCUCAUCUGCUGUUCUGCCUUCUACCUUCAACAUUCAUUGCCUCCCCUACCAACUUCUGAGGGUUAAAGACAAGAGUAAUAAAGAAAUAAUUUUGAAACCUGGCCUAGCAAAUAUUUUGCUAGUAUAUUUUGGGGUUCUUUUCAAAAGUUGAAAAUAUUCAAAUAAACUUUUCUCAGCUUCGGUCACAAAGAUAACUUUACUUUCAAUUUAUCUUCAGAUGGGGAAGUUUUUAAAAGGAGCUUUAUCAAGUUAGGAGACAUUCUCCAGCUUGUUUUUCAGUGACUUUACACUGAGCAAGGAGUACACCUGAUCGUGCUUGACUUUUUAUUUCUGUGUUUCUGGGAGUGAUUCUUGGGCAACCUUAGUUUAGUUUUGUUUUGACUUUUACAACUCAGGAUGACAUGAAAAGGCAAUUUGGACUCUUGAGAGAGGAACAGUAAAACUAAAAAAAAUCUCAAAAUGUGGGUUUAUUGGAGGACAAGCCAUUCUCAAUGGCAAGUCUGAAUCAGAAGUCAUGUCUGAUAAAUGUAAUCAUAUCCCUUUUUUUUUAAAAAAAAGUAGAAAUUUCUGUGUUCAACCAAGUGCUCCAAGUAGGGGCCAAACCACAGCUGGAGUACUAGGUUGAGUUGUGGAUGUCAGAUGGCAGGAGAGACAGAUACACAUUGGAGUAGACCCAGAGUAGAGGGACAAGGAUGGUGAGGAAGUUCACAACCAAACCUCAUAGGCAAGGUCAAAAGAUAGAACUCUGGGGAGACCUCUCUUGGGUAAGAGGGAGUCACAUUAUUUUGCAUGGUUGCAGGGGACAGAGGUGUGACCCAAGGGUGGAAGGAAGGAACACCAAGGUAGAGUGUUAAGUCU
Long non-coding RNA from Callithrix jacchus (white-tufted-ear marmoset), 2336 nucleotides. Lineage: Eukaryota; Metazoa; Chordata; Mammalia; Primates; Cebidae. The record is from Ensembl.